RNAcentral lists this non-coding RNA (1747 nucleotides) under Pan troglodytes (chimpanzee). Lineage: Eukaryota; Metazoa; Chordata; Mammalia; Primates; Hominidae. The record is from RNAcentral.
AGGAUAGGAGGAGGCGAUGGAGGAGGAGGAGGAGCAGGAGGCCCGGGCCCCGGCCUGCGGUUGGGAGAAGAUAUGCCAAGAAUGUAAACCAUCCGCUGGACGCUGCGCCCGCUCCUGUUGCUGCUGCGGCCGGCGCAGCCUCCCUUCGGUCCCCGGCCCGGUCAGGGGCCGCGCCGAACGCAGACCCGCCAGGGGGAAGCAUGUCCGAGGGGGUGGCGUCGGUGGCUGCCGCGACUCCCGAGCCGGAGGCUCCCACGCGGCACCGUCGGGGCUGGGCGUUCCUGGGGAUUCAGAGUCGGCGCUGGGCCUCCUGGAGCCAGGACCGCCGAAGAGCUUGCGCAUCUCGGUGACGCUGGGCCAGGCUCCUCGCGCUGGGCCCUCGGCCGCUUCUUCCGCGGCCGCGGGGAAGACGCCUCCGUCUCGGGCCCCAACGGAGCCGUCGUCCAGACGCGGCGCGUCGAAGCGCCGGGAGAGCUGGCGCACCGACGGCGAGAGGCUGCGGAGCGGGCGCGGCUGCGUGGGGGCGGCCAGGGGCCCAGACGCCAGCUUGGACACGCGCCGAGAGGGCUGGCCCCGGGCAGCCGUGGUCGGCCGGCACGAGGCGCGGCGCCUCAAGCCGGGGGUGUCCGUGUCCUCCUCCCUCGGCCCGGGGCCGCCGCUCCAGCGCUCCAGCAGCUUGAAUGAGACGCUGCGGAGCGCAGCGGCCCACGCCGAAAGCAGCGCACGGGAGUGUGGGAGGAGGACGCAGAGACCGGAGCAGAGGUUUCUCUGCCGCGGCUCAAGUUUCUGUGGCCACCGGCCUCAACGUCUCCAUCCCGGGCGGCCCCUCCCGCCUCAGCGCCGACCCCCAGGCCCAGCCCCCGCCGCGGCUGGAGCGACCAGGGGCACCGCGGCACCGCCUGGGCGGGAUCCCAGCGCUUGGUUCCUCGACUCUGCGUCCGCCUGCCCAACGGCUUGCCUGCCUCCCCUCGCUCUCCCGCUCCGGCUCCCGCUCCCUCCCCCUUGGCUGCUCGCUCCUGGCACCCUUUUGUUGCAAAUAAACUUUGCGGCAGAGGCAAGGGGGCGGGGGGCGGGGCCUCGAGCCCAAAAGAGGGGGUGGGCUCCGGGCGUGCGCGAGCCUGGGAACCGGGUGGUGGGAGGGAAUCAGGGAGGAGCCGAAGAAGAAAAAGCCUGCUGGAGGACUUGCAGACUGAGGCGACCCUCUGGCCCUCCAGAGACGUCCCUCGGGAGCCCAGCAGGCCGAGCUGCCCCCAGGGAGUCGCUGAGACACACGCAACCGCUGAGCGUGCUCAGCUCCGCAGACUCGCAGCCAGGGCGCCGCGUCCACCGCGGGCCACCAGCCUCCGCGCGGAAACACCUCCUGCCCAGGGGCUCCAACAUGGCAACCUCGGACUCACAAACUCUCGUACACACUGACACUCAGCUGCCACGCCUUCCACCUGCCCCUGCAGUCUGGCGGCUCUUCUCCUGGACUCUCCGCCUGGAUCCCCGAGCCUCUUUCCUUCUUGCUCUGGAGUACGCGGCUCUUGCGCCCCCUCGCGGCGUGAUUUUGCCAACGCACGGAGUCCUGGACGGAUAAAGCAGCACCCAUCCCCAAAAAACGGAGAGUUGUGAAAACUUCCUUUCAGUCGUUACCUAAUCCCCUUAGUCUUUUUCAGACCUUCGCAAAGCGCACUGCCCCUUCUUAGGCCUUAUACACAAAAGGAGCUUCGACCGGAACGCCCUCGACUUCCCACUGCCAAACCUA